GACGAACGCUGGCGGCGUGCCUAAUACAUGCAAGUAGAACGCUGAAGGAGGAGCUUGCUUCUCUGGAUGAGUUGCGAACGGGUGAGUAACGCGUAGGUAACCUGCCUGGUAGCGGGGGAUAACUAUUGGAAACGAUAGCUAAUACCGCAUAAUAGUAGAUGUUGCAUGACAUUUGCUUAAAAGGUGCAAUUGCAUCACUACCAGAUGGACCUGCGUUGUAUUAGCUAGUUGGUGAGGUAACGGCUCACCAAGGCAACGAUACAUAGCCGACCUGAGAGGGUGAUCGGCCACACUGGGACUGAGACACGGCCCAGACUCCUACGGGAGGCAGCAGUAGGGAAUCUUCGGCAAUGGACGGAAGUCUGACCGAGCAACGCCGCGUGAGUGAAGAAGGUAUUCGGAUCGUAAAGCUCUGUUGUAAGAGAAGAACGAGUGUGAGAGUGGAAAGUUCACACUGUGACGGUAUCUUACCAGAAAGGGACGGCUAACUACGUG
Molecule: ribosomal RNA, 495 nt
Filed under: uncultured bacterium
Lineage: Bacteria
Description: partial 16S ribosomal RNA
Rfam family: Bacterial small subunit ribosomal RNA
Source: RNAcentral